AUCCAUCUGACGAAUCCCAAAUAGGACGAAACACAUGUUCUGGCU
Schistosoma mattheei is the source of this 45-nucleotide non-coding RNA. Lineage: Eukaryota; Metazoa; Platyhelminthes; Trematoda; Strigeidida; Schistosomatidae. The record is from Rfam.